GAUGAACGCUGGCGGCGUGCCUAAUACAUGCAAGUCGAGCGAACAGACGAGGAGCUUGCUCCUCUGACGUUAGCGGCGGACGGGUGAGUAACACGUGGAUAACCUACCUAUAAGACUGGGAUAACUUCGGGAAACCGGAGCUAAUACCGGAUAAUAUAUUGAACCGCAUGGUUCAAUAGUGAAAGACGGUUUUGCUGGCACUUAUAGAUGGAUCCGCGCCGCAUUAGCUAGUUGGUAAGGUAACGGCUUACCAAGGCAACGAUGCGUAGCCGACCUGAGAGGGUGAUCGGCCACACUGGAACUGAGCCACGGUCCAGACUCCUACGGGAGGCAGCAGUAGGGAAUCUUCCGCAAUGGGCGAAAGCCUGACGGAGCAACGCCGCGUGAGUGAUGAAGGUCUUCGGAUCGUAAAACUCUGUUAUUAGGGAAGAACAAAUGUGUAAGUAACUAUGCACGUCUUGACGGUACCUAAUCAGAAAGCCACGGCUAACUACGUG
RNAcentral lists this ribosomal RNA (497 nucleotides) under uncultured bacterium. RNAcentral describes it as "partial 16S ribosomal RNA". It matches the Rfam family "Bacterial small subunit ribosomal RNA", at positions 28 to 507 of the family's 1533-position model. The record is from RNAcentral.